AGAAACUCAUCCAAUGCUUAAUUUUCAAUCAGUUUUCACAUCUUUAAUCAGCAUGUUUUACACUCACUGGCUUUAUCAGAGUGUCUGCAGGUUCUUACAAAGUCUGACAUUUAUUAUAAUUUAGAUUUGACACACAUUUUAUCUAAUUCUGUGUAUCGUCUACUAUCAGAGUGAAUCAAGGUCCACAUUUAUGACACUUUAAACAACCACUGAACCUAAUGCUGGUAAAGGUUAACCAAACUCACUCUAAUAAUCACAUUCCUACAUGAAACUUAUGUCUCACAUAUUUACUACUUACCUUUAUAUUCCUGUUCCGCUUGAAUUAGAUGAUUUGUCUGAAAGGUUCUUAAAUUUGGUUAAAAACUGUCACAAAUUUAAGCCCAUAAACACCUGUUUAUUGUGAAAAACAAUUAUUUUUUUCAUUUAUAUUCAUAUUUGUUUGGAACAGAAUAUUAAAUAGAUGGAUAAGUGGCUAAAUAUCACAACUCAAUUGAAAUGUAAAAUUAGAUGUGAAACUCAGGCAACUUAAUCAUACUUUGCAAAGUUUGGUAUUUAUUUUAGUGUUUUAGUGUUAUUUUAGUGACAUAAUGAUGCCACGUGCCAAUAGAUAGUUUUAAAAUAAAAUAACUAUUUUCUCUGAAUUUGACCAUUAUUGCAAGUAUUUUAUAUAGUCUAAGUACAGAAGUCUGCAAAAUUUAUAACAUAGGCUUAGUCGUUUCUGAAAUUUUAACUCAGAAAUGGUGCAUUUUAUGCCUUUAGUUGGAAAUUUGCACAAAAGUUCUAGAGAAGAGAAAAGAGAAACAUGAUAACAUUAAUGUAACUAUCAUGCACGGUUGUAACGCAAAAAAUUCUAAAUACAGUGAGAAAUAGGCCUAUCCCUGUGGUCAUUUUUAUAAACUAUUAAUUUACUGAAUAAAUGUAGAAACUGUACUGUAAUGCGAUAUGUACCAUUACCUGGAUAUGAAAUGACUUCUAUCAGGAUAUGAGGUUUUGGUCACUUUUACUUACAGGUGAAAUGGAGAAGUAAGUACAUUGCA
Long non-coding RNA from Sphaeramia orbicularis (orbiculate cardinalfish), 1037 nucleotides. RefSeq lists it as uncharacterized. Lineage: Eukaryota; Metazoa; Chordata; Actinopteri; Kurtiformes; Apogonidae. The record is from RefSeq and is a predicted model, not a curated record. The transcript is spliced from 2 exons.